CCUACGGGGGGCAGCAGUGAGGAAUAUUGGUCAAUGGGCGGAAGCCUGAACCAGCCAAGUAGCGUGCGGGAUGAAGGCCCUACGGGUCGUAAACCGCUUUUGCACGGGGAUAACACCCUCCACUUGUGGAGGUCUGCAGGUACCGUGCGAAUAAGGGCCGGCUAAUUCCGUGCCAGCAGCCGCGGUAAUACGGAAGGCCCGAGCGUUAUCCGGAUUCAUUGGGCUUAAAGGGAGCGUAGGCGGGCGUUCAAGUCAGCUGUAAAAUCGCGCGGCUCAACCGCGCCCCGCAGUUGAAACUGGACGCCUUGAGUUCACAACAGGCAGGCGGAAUUCGUGGUGUAGCGGUGAAAUGCAUAGAUAUAUGGAAGAACACCAGUGGCGAAGGCGGCUGUCUGGUCUGCAACUGACGCUGAGGCUCGAAAGCAUGGGUAGCGAACAGGAUUAGAUACCCCAGUAGUC
RNAcentral lists this ribosomal RNA (459 nucleotides) under uncultured bacterium. RNAcentral describes it as "partial 16S ribosomal RNA". It matches the Rfam family "Bacterial small subunit ribosomal RNA", at positions 338 to 795 of the family's 1533-position model. The record is from RNAcentral.